GGAUCCAGACUUUGAUCAUGGCUCAGGAUGAACGCUAGCUACAGGCUUAACACAUGCAAGUCGAGGGGCAGCGGGAUUGAAGCUUGCUUCAAUUGCCGGCGACCGGCGCACGGGUGAGUAACGCGUAUCCAAUCUUCCGUACACUCAGGGAUAGCCUUUCGAAAGAAAGAUUAAUACCUGAUAGUAUCUUAAGCACACAUGUAAUUAAGAUUAAAGAUUUAUCGGUGUACGAUGGGGAUGCGUUCCAUUAGGUAGUAGGCGGGGUAACGGCCCACCUAGCCAACGAUGGAUAGGGGUUCUGAGAGGAAGGUCCCCCACAUUGGAACUGAGACACGGUCCAAACUCCUACGGGAGGCAGCAGUGAGGAAUAUUGGUCAAUGGACGAGAGUCUGAACCAGCCAAGUAGCGUGAAGGAUGAAGGUCCUACGGAUUGUAAACUUCUUUUAUAAGGGAAUAAACCCUCCCACGUGUGGGAGCUUGUAUGUACCUUAUGAAUAAGCAUCGGCUAACUCCGUGCCAGCAGCCGCGGUAAUACGGAGGAUGCGAGCGUUAUCCGGAUUUAUUGGGUUUAAAGGGAGCGCAGACGGGUCGUUAAGUCAGCUGUGAAAGUUUGGGGCUCAACCUUAAAAUUGCAGUUGAUACUGGCGUCCUUGAGUGCGGUUGAGGUGUGCGGAAUUCGUGGUGUAGCGGUGAAAUGCUUAGAUAUCACGAAGAACUCCGAUUGCGAAGGCAGCACACUAAUCCGUAACUGACGUUCAUGCUCGAAAGUGUGGGUAUCAAACAGGAUUAGAUACCCUGG
Molecule: ribosomal RNA, 799 nt
Filed under: uncultured Bacteroidota bacterium
Lineage: Bacteria; Pseudomonadati; Bacteroidota
Description: bacterial SSU rRNA
Rfam family: Bacterial small subunit ribosomal RNA
Source: RNAcentral